RNAcentral lists this ribosomal RNA (253 nucleotides) under uncultured bacterium. RNAcentral's name for it is "partial 16S ribosomal RNA". It matches the Rfam family "Bacterial small subunit ribosomal RNA", at positions 524 to 776 of the family's 1533-position model. The record is from RNAcentral.
UACGUAGGGUGCGAGCGUUAAUCGGAAUUACUGGGCGUAAAGCGCGCGUAGGCGGUUUUGUAAGUCGGAUGUGAAAUCCCCGGGCUUAACCUGGGAAUGGCAUUCGGGACUGCAAGGCUGGAGUGCGGCAGAGGAGACUGGAAUUCCUGGUGUAGCAGUGAAAUGCGUAGAUAUCAGGAGGAACACCGAUGGCGAAGGCAGGUCUCUGGGCUGACACUGACGCUCAUGCACGAAAGCGUGGGGAGCAAACAGG